AUUGAACGCUGGCGGCAUGCUUUACACAUGCAAGUCGAACGGUAACAGGCCGCAAGGUGCUGACGAGUGGCGAACGGGUGAGUAAUGCAUCGGAACGUGCCCAGUCGUGGGGGAUAACUACUCGAAAGAGUAGCUAAUACCGCAUACGAUCUAUGGAUGAAAGCGGGGGACCGUAAGGCCUCGCGCGAUUUGAGCGGCCGAUGUCAGAUUAGGUAGUUGGUGGGGUAAAGGCUCACCAAGCCAACGAUCUGUAGCUGGUCUGAGAGGACGACCAGCCACACUGGGACUGAGACACGGCCCAGACUCCUACGGGAGGCAGCAGUGGGGAAUUUUGGACAAUGGGCGCAAGCCUGAUCCAGCAAUGCCGCGUGCAGGAAGAAGGCCUUCGGGUUGUAAACUGCUUUUGUACGGAACGAAACGGCUCUGGUUAAUACCCGGGGCUAAUGACGGUACCGUAAGAAUAAGCACCGGCUAACUACGUG
This 482-nucleotide ribosomal RNA is filed under the name uncultured bacterium. RNAcentral's name for it is "partial 16S ribosomal RNA". It matches the Rfam family "Bacterial small subunit ribosomal RNA", at positions 30 to 507 of the family's 1533-position model. The record is from RNAcentral.